This 163-nucleotide unclassified non-coding RNA is filed under the name uncultured Sebacina. RNAcentral describes it as "sequence contains ITS1". Lineage: Eukaryota; Fungi; Basidiomycota; Agaricomycetes; Sebacinales; Sebacinaceae. The record is from RNAcentral.
AUGAUUGCGAAUGGUUGCCUUCAGUGCUGGCUCUUGCAAGUGCACGUUGGUGGCUUUCAUCCAAUACCCCUGUGAACCUUUGGCCUCUUGCUAGCUUCGGCUGGUAGAGGAUUUUUACACACUCGAAUGUAACGAAAACUUGUCGUGCGCAAGCACUAAUGUA